UGCGAGUCAAAAUACAUGUUGAGUUGUGUCCUACAUUAGCUAGUAAAGAGAAGAUAUUUGGAUUUAUAAGGUGGUAGGUCACUCCACCUAAAAAAUUAGUCUUUUGGGUUGGAUACCUAGACUUCUCCUGAAAACAGAAGUUAGUUUGCACAUCAAGUGUACGGACACGUAACAAGUGAUGAUGCAGAUUAGUAUUACUAGCUAGCAAUGACUCUUAUUAAGCCGAACUUUUUUAGACAACGUUGGUAUUUCGUGGAAGAAAAGAAUUAUACAUUUACAUGUAUACGAUGCAAGGACGUUGCGCCUCCAACGGUCGUUGUCACUUGUGUUCUUAUUACACAAAGAGUCGCCGCGUACCGCGUGUAUGGGUAAUCGUCGCCGCUAUUGAUCUUUAAUUAAAGUUGAAAAUGCAAUCGACGUUUCAUUUGUGUUGUUGUUCUCAUUCAAUCAAUUUCAACGCCCCAAAAAAGAAAAAAAGAAAAAGAAAAAGAACUUCUCGGCUAAUACCGAAUCAAAACGCACCAAACGAUUGACAACAACGGAGUUGAAAUUUUGUGCAGUCUCCAAAUCUUUAUGUGACGCGCGCGACUUGCCUCGCCGGCCAAAAUCAUCGCAUCUUGAACGUCACAAUAGGUACAAUUGGACAUUGUUGUAUGGAUCUUGCCUUGUUGUUGUAUUGAGGCAAUUUGCUUUAUCUAGCUAUGGCUAUUUUGAGGUCAUUAAAUCCUGAAUGACACGGAUUCUCGUUUUUCAAUGCCUUGCAUGCAUUCACGUCGCGCUCAAUUACAGUUGUUAACAGUAGUAACAGACAAGGGUGCUUCGAUGAGACUCGUCGAUACUCGGUCUUGUAGAAAUGUUUGCUAAUAGGGUUAGUA
This 875-nucleotide long non-coding RNA is filed under the name Citrus sinensis (sweet orange). RNAcentral's name for it is "long non-coding RNA (CSIN_LNC003662)". Lineage: Eukaryota; Viridiplantae; Streptophyta; Magnoliopsida; Sapindales; Rutaceae. The record is from RNAcentral.